This is a non-coding RNA of Ochotona curzoniae (black-lipped pika), 454 nucleotides long. The record is from the annotation of a RefSeq genome assembly. Lineage: Eukaryota; Metazoa; Chordata; Mammalia; Lagomorpha; Ochotonidae.
AGGCUUGUGUGUGUCCACCAUGGCCUGGACCGUGCUCCUCCUCGCCCUUCUUGCUCACUGCGCAGGUUCCUGGGCCCAGGUUGUGUUCACUCAGCCUCAGUCUGUGUUGGGGUCACUGGGGGAGACGGUCUCCAUUUCCUGCACACGCAAUGGUGGUGACAUUACGAGUUCCUACAUGUCCUGGUACCAGCAGCUCCCAGGCAGGGCACCCACACUCCUGAUCUAUAAUGAUGAUCAGAGAGCCUCAGGAGUUCCUGAGCGGUUCUCUGGCUCCAUCGACAGCUCGUCCAACUCUGCUUCCAUGACCAUCUCUGGGCUGCAGGCUGAGGACGAGGCUGACUACUACUGUCUCUCUUAUGAGAUGAAUUAUUAUCCCACAGUGCUUGAACCGUAUGGAGAAAAGUUCACACUCACACAACACACAAUAUUUAAUAAUCUGAGAAAUAAACCAUGA